This 492-nucleotide ribosomal RNA is filed under the name uncultured bacterium. Its description in RNAcentral is "partial 16S ribosomal RNA". It matches the Rfam family "Bacterial small subunit ribosomal RNA", at positions 28 to 507 of the family's 1533-position model. The record is from RNAcentral.
GAUGAACGCUCGCUACAGGCUUAACACAUGCAAGUCGAGGGGAAACGGCAUCGAAAGCUUGCUUUUGAUGGGCGUCGACCGGCGCACGGGUGAGUAACGCGUAUCCAACCUGCCCAUCACUUGGGAAUAACCUUGCGAAAGUAAGACUAAUGCCCAAUGACAUCCCACGAAGGCAUCCGAAUGGGAUUAAAGAUUUAUCGGUGAUGGAUGGGGAUGCGUCUGAUUAGCUUGUUGGCGGGGUGACGGCCCACCAAGGCAACGAUCAGUAGGGGUUCUGAGAGGAAGGUCCCCCACAUUGGAACUGAGACACGGUCCAAACUCCUACGGGAGGCAGCAGUGAGGAAUAUUGGUCAAUGGGCGAGAGCCUGAACCAGCCAAGUAGCGUGCAGGAUGACGGCCCUAUGGGUUGUAAACUGCUUUUAUAAGGGAAUAAAGUGGGUCACGUGUGACUUUUUGCACGUACCUUAUGAAUAAGGACCGGCUAAUUCCGUG